CAGAAUGCCAUGUCUUCUUUUAAAGAGAAGAUACAAAACAAGGUGGAAGUAUGUGUAUUACGUCAUCUUAGCGAUUACCAUGACAACUCUAGUGACAAUGUACUAUAGGGAUAACGAAAAAUCUCUAUGGCCUAUUCCUCACUAUGGGAUAAUAUCCAACACAUAUUAACCGUAUGUGAAAACAUUUCCAGAUCGACAGUUCGGACCCGAUAAAACAAAUAAAGUUAUACUGCUAUGGACUAAGUACUUUGAAACGUACGAAUGGCUUCAUACAAUACCAUCACAAACAAAACACUGUCCGAAGCAAUGUAUGAUUACAAACAAUAGAGAGGAUUUAUCACAAAGCGAUGCAGUACUAUUUCAUUUUACAGACAAAGAUUUGUUUUUAAACGAUUUACCAACUAAAAGGCUUCUUUCACAGGUAUGGGCUUUAUUAAUAAUGAACCUAAUAUUUGAGACGAUACAGAUUUCGUCUGGCUUUUGAGGACAGUAAUUGUCGAGACUAUGUUACUGAGAAAUACUGGGAUACUCUUUCUAAAGGAAUCAUCCCUGUAGUCAAUUGGAAAGCAGCUCAACGAGAUGUACCUGUACCGCCUCAUUCAUAUAUUAAUGUUUAUGAUUUUCCACAUAUAAAAAGUCUCGCCGAAUAUCUUACUAAAGUUAGUCGGAAUAGCACGUUAUUUCAGAGUUAUUUUAAAUGAAGAGACCAUUUUCAGAUUUAUACUUCGUUCUGGAAUAGUUUUUGUAAAUUUUGAACCGCUCUCUACGACAAAAGUGUUCCAGCUAAAGUAUAUACGGAUCUAGAGGGAUGGCUGAGGGAUGAUUACUGCCAACGAUUUACAGUAAGUUAAGACCUGGUUUUGUGUGGUAUAAAACUUACAUAUAAUCAUUUUUUUCUUGUUAAUCAUAACAUAUUUUAUAAUUAUAUUUUUUUCUUCUCGCACACAAUUCCUAAUAUAUGUAUAUUCUUCAAGGUAACAAAAUGUGCAUAUCUUCAAUGUACAUUAAAAAUGCCCGGUGACCCAUACGUUUAUUUAUAAUUUUGAAAAAUAAAUUGCACGAAAUAAACUUUAAUUUUUUACACAAUAGGCAGCCUGAACACAUUUUUAGUUUGAUAAUUUGACUAAUAACCAUAUACAAUGUAUUUUUCUUUUUUUUCAGUUCCAGAAUCAAAUAAAAAGAUUAAUCAAGAGAUUUUUGUUUGACGGCAAUCUUGUUGAUUUGCGAAUAUUUAAUUAAUCAAUUAUUCU
RNAcentral lists this long non-coding RNA (1250 nucleotides) under Mytilus galloprovincialis (Mediterranean mussel). Lineage: Eukaryota; Metazoa; Mollusca; Bivalvia; Mytilida; Mytilidae. The record is from RNAcentral.